RNAcentral lists this ribosomal RNA (97 nucleotides) under Triticum aestivum (bread wheat). Lineage: Eukaryota; Viridiplantae; Streptophyta; Magnoliopsida; Poales; Poaceae. RNAcentral also lists the same sequence under 1 other name. The record is from RNAcentral.
GGAUGCGAUCAUACCAGCACUAAAGCACCGGAUCCCAGCUUGGGCGAGGGUAGUACUAGGAUGGGUGACCUCCUGGGAAGUCCUCGUGUUGCAUUCC